CCUGCACGAGCCUGGCGGGAAGGUAGCAGGAGCGCCUGCUGCCUCACUCACUCCAGCCAUCUUGGCUGCUGGUGAUUCGGGCUCACGCUCUACAAUUCGCUGCCGGUAAGAAGGCUUCCAGUGGGCUGAGCCGUUGAAUCGGCUCAACAGCUUGCUGGGUAUCCGGGUCCCCUGCCGUCCCCUCUGCCUCGUCAUUGUCGUCGUUCUCAAUGCCAUUGCUGUCCAGCUCUGGCCGCAGCGUGAACAGCCCGGGAGGCUGAGACUCUUCAGGGCCUCAGAUGUGCAGGUGGUUCCCCAGCAUGGCUGCAGCUGACCGCUGUUCUCUCCAGCCCCUUCGCUCCCCCAUUUUUCCUUUAAUACUUAGAAAUUUGCGCUCACUCAGCUCGCAGGGAUACAGCAGAUGCCUUCAGGAUCUUUCAGCGCUGAUAACCCAAAGCCCUGGUCUGGCAACUGGAAUCUGGAGGACUCCAGGGGGGUGGAACAAGUCACCUGAAGUACUCACUUAUGCCUGACUGUGUCAAGGUCCCAACCUGCUCUGUUGGCUACACUAAGGGUGGCUUUGGGGGGAAAGAAGGACACCAAAUCCAGAGCAAACCCUUUCAUCCCUCAAAGCAGCCUGCCCCAAAAUAUGAGUCAGACCUCACUUUGCAUGCUGAAAUAUACCACCAUGGAGAGGGGAGAGAUUGAGAAUCUAUCAAUAGGCUUGACUUGACCCUUCUUCAGUAUGAUCUCAGGCAAUUCUCAGCUCCACAGUUAACAUCCUCAAAUCCACAACCUCUCAAAGAUCCUCAGCAAGCUGGCAAAUAAUACCUACUUGAAUGUGUGAACUCUACUAAAAUUGACUCCUAGACAAGCCAUGGGGAAAUCUUUGUUUCCCAUAUGAGUCUGUAUUUUCAAUCCCAAAGAAAUAGAACCUGAGGGAAAGACUUUAAAGAGAGAAAACAAGGAAGACAGAAUUUAAAUGUUUCCAACAAUGGAAAAAAUAUGUGGGAAGUCCCCCAAACCCAAGAAUACCAUGUCAAACAUGCACCAUAUGUAGAGUUCCCCAAACCAGGAAAUAAAUAGAAAAAAAAAGAAAAAAGAAAAAAGCA
This 1091-nucleotide long non-coding RNA is filed under the name Monodelphis domestica (gray short-tailed opossum). Its description in RNAcentral is "lncRNA (ENSMODG00000037489.1)". The record is from RNAcentral. Lineage: Eukaryota; Metazoa; Chordata; Mammalia; Didelphimorphia; Didelphidae.